Molecule: ribosomal RNA, 577 nt
Filed under: uncultured bacterium
Lineage: Bacteria
Description: bacterial SSU rRNA
Rfam family: Bacterial small subunit ribosomal RNA
Source: RNAcentral
ACGGGUGAGUAACACGUGGGCAACCUGCCCCUAGCACUGGGAUAACUCCGGGAAACCGGGGCUAAUACCGGAUAUGACCUCGGAAGGCAUCUUCUGAGGUGUAAAGGAUUCUGGCUAGGGAUGGGCCCGCGGCCUAUCAGCUUGUUGGUGGGGUAACGGCCCACCAAGGCGACGACGGGUAGCCGGCCUGAGAGGGCGACCGGCCACACUGGGACUGAGACACGGCCCAGACUCCUACGGGAGGCAGCAGUGGGGAAUAUUGCACAAUGGGCGCAAGCCUGAUGCAGCGACGCCGCGUGAGGGAUGACGGCCUUCGGGUUGUAAACCUCUUUCAGCAGGGACGAAGCGAAAGUGACGGUACCUGCAGAAGAAGCACCGGCCAACUACGUGCCAGCAGCCGCGGUAAUACGUAGGGUGCAAGCGUUGUCCGGAAUUAUUGGGCGUAAAGAGCUCGUAGGCGGUUUGUCACGUCGGCUGUGAAAACCUAGGGCUCAACCCUGGGCCUGCAGCCGAUACGGGCAAACUAGAAUUCGGUAGGGGAGACUGGAAUUCCUGGUGUAGCGGUGAAAUGCGCAGA